UACAGAGGUCUCAAGCGUUGUUCGGAUUCAUUGGGCGUAAAGGGUGCGUAGGCGGCGCGGUAAGUCGGGUGUGAAAUCUUGGAGCUUAACUCCGAAACUGCAUUCGAUACUGCCGUGCUUGAGGACUGGAGAGGAGACUGGAAUUUACGGUGUAGCGGUGAAAUGCGUAGAUAUCGUAAGGAAGACCAGUGGCGAAGGCGGGUCUCUGGACAGUUCCUGACGCUGAGGCACGAAGGCCGGGGGAGCAAACGGG
RNAcentral lists this ribosomal RNA (253 nucleotides) under uncultured bacterium. RNAcentral's name for it is "partial 16S ribosomal RNA". It matches the Rfam family "Bacterial small subunit ribosomal RNA", at positions 524 to 776 of the family's 1533-position model. The record is from RNAcentral.